Molecule: ribosomal RNA, 464 nt
Filed under: uncultured bacterium
Lineage: Bacteria
Description: partial 16S ribosomal RNA
Rfam family: Bacterial small subunit ribosomal RNA
Source: RNAcentral
GACGAACGCUGGCGGCGUGCUUAACACAUGCAAGUCGAACGGAAAGGCCCCUUUGGGGGUACUCGAGUGGCGAACGGGUGAGUAACACGUGAGUAACCUGCCCUUGACUUCGGGAUAACUUCAGGAAACUGGGGCUAAUACCGGAUAGGAAUCCUUGCUGCAUGGUGGGGGUUGGAAAGCUUCGGCGGUUUUGGAUGGACUCGCGGCUUAUCAGCUUGUUGGUGGGGUAGUGGCUUACCAAGGCUUUGACGGGUAGCCGGCCUGAGAGGGCGACCGGCCACAUUGGGACUGAGAUACGGCCCAGACUCCUACGGAGGCAGCAGUGGGGAAUAUUGCACAAUGGGCGGAAGCCUGAUGCAGCAACGCCGCGUGCGGGAUGACGGCCUUCGGGUUGUAAACCGCUUUCAGCAGGGGCGAAGCUUGUGGUGACGGUACCUGCAGAAGAAGCACCGGCUAACUACGUG